Molecule: long non-coding RNA, 325 nt
Organism: Seriola aureovittata
Lineage: Eukaryota; Metazoa; Chordata; Actinopteri; Carangiformes; Carangidae
Exons: 3
Source: RefSeq, a predicted model, not a curated record
UGUUGUCGGGCUGCAGGCCGGACGAGGAGGAGGAGGAGGAGGAGGAGGAGGCGAAGAGGCAGUGCAUGAUGGGACAGAGGGGCUCAUGGGCUCUGAGGGCUUCGGUCAGCAGGUGAUGCUCCUUGGACAGAGAAUCCACCUGGAAGAUAAGCUCACAGGCCUGAAGAGAGGAGGAGGAAGAAAUCAUCAUGUUGAAGUCCUUCCUGAUGGAACCGGUUUUGGGGGAACCAGGAAUCGAACCACCAACCCAGGGAUCAGCAGCCAACUCUUCCUACUGUGACAAGUCUAAAUGUUCAUGUAAACAAAAGCUCAAGCAUCAUCAUCA